ACUCUCUAAAAUGUUUUAAAUUGUUACAUUUAGUUAAUACAUUUCUUAUCUUUGUCCCUGCUGAGCAGAAUCCCUGAGUUUCAUUAAAGGCUAGAAUGUUAGAAUUGAUACAAUAGUUGCUAAUGCUGCAGAGAUACUACCGAACUAAAUCAACUAAAUGUUGCAAAAUUGUAACAGUUCAGAAUCUGCACCUGAAUUAUUGAGCUGUCAGACUGAAACACCAGAGACAGGGACAUUCAACUUUAAACUUAGAUUUUGGAAAAAGGUCUUUAUUUCUGAAAACAACUCAACUGAAAAAAUGCUUGGAAAGUUAACAACCCCUUUAACUGCAUUCAGAAAGUAAUGCAUUGGAUGGAAGUAGAAAAGCCAUUGAAUUUCCUCAUAUCCAAAUGGAUAAAUAUCUCAAACAUUUUCGACAUGGCACAAUUCAUUUUUGUAAGGAUUAAAUUAUAUUGGCCUCCAGUGUUCAGAGCGGUAUGCUGCUUAAAACAGGUUUCUUAUGUUUUUUCUCAUGAGGUCAAGUCUGGCAUUGGUUUGGUCAAUUAUGCACCUUGUUUUAAUUGUUUUCUAUUGUAGCAUGAGAUUCCUAUAUUUUAAAGGGGAUCAUAGUGAUUUACUCUGAACAGCUUAAGACGUAGAUUUGAGUUCCAAUCGUGAUCAUAGUUUAAGAAUAUCUGCAGUAAUAUAAGGCUUAUAAAUAGCAUAAUGCUAAAUACUGGGUCAAAUCCAAAUCUUGAAUAUAAUCAUGGAAUGCAUAUGAAUCCAGAAUCUGGAUUUGGGUAUCCCAACACUUCAAUGCCAGAAAUGUGAAGCUUAGGAGAAGCAACAGUAUCACUAAGGUUAAACUACAUAGAGGUUUAGCGUCCAUUCUCCUAACCACUGCCUGCAGAACAAUCCACUGAACCUCUAUGAAUUACCUGGAUUGGCUCUGUAUUGUUAGUGUGUCAGUACCCUUCUCUGGAUACAUAUGCCAACAUGUUUAAGACAGAUAAAUCAUAAGAAUUAGUACUGUCAGUUAUUUCAGUUUUGUCAUUUUGUGUACUUAAAUAGGGUCAAAUUGGAAACUUUUGGUAAAGUCACAUUCAACUUCCUGUUCACAAGUGCACUCAAAACAAAUCAACAGCCUUCUGUAUAUACAAACCCCUUCCGUCCCUUUUGUUGGGGUUUGGGAUACAGAGGCUUCUCUGUAGUAUUCAUUGACCUAAUAUUAGAAACAUGUGUAAAUUGCCUUUUUAAAACAAUUGUAUAUUCCAUUCUUGCUGAUAACUAUACCUUUAAAGAAGACCAUAAAAACUGGACUUCUUUGUUUCAUAACUGUGCUUAUUUCCAUUGUUGUUUUGCUUUUAUUGCUGCAUCCUUUCUUGAUUAGAUUUGCUAUUUGGAGACCACUCUAUCCUUUCUAGCUCAUGAUGAAUUUUUGCACACAGAAAUCUACUUACAUCACAGGUAGUGCUGUAUAAACCAGACUGUGUAUUAAUAUCAGUGUAUCGGUGUAGCAGAAGUUUGUGUUACUGCAACACAUUGCAAGUUCUUGAACCUGUGUGUUUAAGCUUGGAUUACAGCAGUCAUGUGACCAUCACUGGAAUUUGUGAAUAGUGUAAUACACUUCAAGGCCGGCUACAUUCUUCAUCUGUAGGGCUGAAACAUGCAUUAUGUUGUUGGUAAUAUUGUUGAAGAUAUAGCCUUCAGAUUGCUGUGUGUACUAACCUGAGCCCAGGAGGAUUAGUCAAAAUAAUUUAGAUUAUCUCUACUAUAUUCAAGCAAAAAUGAUCUUAGUAAAGACAGUGUGUGCAACUUUAGUCUAGGAAUAUUGUUUCCUCCUGUCUUUUCUCUCACUGUGCAGUAGAACAUCCUACAACCUGCUUUAAAUCAGUUGCUUUAGUCUGUGUUUAUAUGUCUAUCAUGUCUUAUUAUACUAUAGCGUUCUUUCUGUAAUUUUCUGCAUACAGUAUGUGAAUGAAACAUAGACAUAAAGAAUGGUGUAUUCUCCUUUUAAAGCUUUCCUCCUCCUCACACCAAAAAGUUCACUCUCUGUCAUUUUUUAAUUUAUUUUUAUGCAAACUGCCUCUUUAAGAUGGCUUCAGGAACUGCUUAAAUUUCUUGCUGUUUAGUAUUUUAUAGAUUAGCUCAUUUUAAGCAACUUUUCAAUUUGCCUUAGUUUUUUCCUUGUAGUUUCUGAAUGAUUUGCCGCCUUCUUCUGACUCUUUCUAGCUUUCAGAUGGGGGUGACUGAACCCAUAAAAAAAACAAAUGCUCUGUAAGGCUACAAAUGUAUUGAUUGUUAUUGCUACUUUUACUCAUCUUUCUCCUAUUCAUAUUCCUCUCUCUUCAAAUGAAUGCAUGGUUGCUCCCUAGCAGCCAGGUGGCUUAAACUGGAGAGUUUCUAAAUAAAAAACGAAAUAACUCAAAAACCAAAAAUAAAAAAUUGAAACCAAUUUCAAAUGA
Molecule: long non-coding RNA, 2444 nt
Organism: Xenopus laevis (African clawed frog)
Lineage: Eukaryota; Metazoa; Chordata; Amphibia; Anura; Pipidae
Exons: 2
Source: RefSeq, a predicted model, not a curated record